GCCGAAGUGGUGGAACUGGUAGACACGCAGUCUUGAGGGGGCUGUGAGGGAAACCUCGUGCCGGUUCGAUUCCGGCCUUCGGCA
Molecule: transfer RNA, 84 nt
Filed under: SAR324 cluster bacterium
Lineage: Bacteria; Deltaproteobacteria
Also listed under: 1 other name
Description: tRNA-Leu
Rfam family: tRNA
About the family: Transfer RNA (tRNA) molecules are approximately 80 nucleotides in length. Their secondary structure includes four short double-helical elements and three loops (D, anti-codon, and T loops). Further hydrogen bonds mediate the characteristic L-shaped molecular structure. tRNAs have two regions of fundamental functional importance: the anti-codon, which is responsible for specific mRNA codon recognition, and the 3' end, to which the tRNAs corresponding amino acid is attached (by aminoacyl-tRNA synthetases). tRNAs cope with the degeneracy of the genetic code in two manners: having more than one tRNA (with a specific anti-codon) for a particular amino acid; and 'wobble' base-pairing, i.e. permitting non-standard base-pairing at the 3rd anti-codon position.
Source: RNAcentral